RNAcentral lists this ribosomal RNA (406 nucleotides) under uncultured bacterium. RNAcentral's name for it is "partial 16S ribosomal RNA". It matches the Rfam family "Bacterial small subunit ribosomal RNA", at positions 29 to 526 of the family's 1533-position model. The record is from RNAcentral.
AUUGAACGCUGGCGGUAGGCCUAACACAUGCAAGUCGAACGAGUGGCGGACGGGUGAGUAAUGUCUGGGAAACUGCCUGAUGGAGGGGGCUAACUACUGGAAACGGUAGCUAAUACCGCAUACCAUCAGAUGGGCCGAGAUGGGAUUAGCUAGUUGGUGGGGUAACGGCGCACCAAGGCGACGAUCCCUAGCUGGUCAGAGAGGAUGACCAGCCACACUGGGACUGAGACAAGGGCCAGACUCCCACGGGAGGCCGGAGUGGGGAAUUUUGCACAAUGGGAGCAAGCCUGAUGCAGCCAUGCCGGGUGUAUGAAGAAGGCCUUCGGGUUGUAAAGUACUUUCAGCGGGGAGGCGUUACCCGAACAAGAAGCCCCGGCUAACUCCGUGCCAGCCGCCGCGGUAAUAC